AUUGAACGCUGGCGGCAGGCUUAACACAUGCAAGUCGAGCGGGGGAAGGUAGCUUGCUACCGGACCUAGCGGCGGACGGGUGAGUAAUGCUUAGGAAUCUGACUAUUAGUGGGGGACAACAUCUCGAAAGGGACGCUAAUACCGCAUACGUCCUACGGGAGAAAGCGGGGGAUCUUCGGACCUUGCGCUAAUAGAUGAGCCUAAGUCGGAUUAGCUAGUUGGUGGGGUAAAGGCCUACCAAGGCGACGAUCUGUAGCGGGUCUGAGAGGAGGAUCCGCCACACUGGGACUGAGACACGGCCCAGACUCCUACGGGAGGCAGCAGUGGGGAAUAUUGGACAAUGGGGGGAACCCUGAUCCAGCCAUGCCGCGUGUGUGAAGAAGGCCUUAUGGUUGUAAAGCACUUUAAGCGAGGAGGAGGCUACUCUAGUUAAUACCUAGGGAUAGUGGACGUUACUCGCAGAAUAAGCACCGGCUAACUCUGUGCCAGCCGCCGCGGUAA
Molecule: ribosomal RNA, 501 nt
Filed under: uncultured bacterium
Lineage: Bacteria
Description: partial 16S ribosomal RNA
Rfam family: Bacterial small subunit ribosomal RNA
Source: RNAcentral